Molecule: long non-coding RNA, 3569 nt
Filed under: Mytilus galloprovincialis (Mediterranean mussel)
Lineage: Eukaryota; Metazoa; Mollusca; Bivalvia; Mytilida; Mytilidae
Source: RNAcentral
UCCAGAUCUGAGCCGAUAAAUACCAGACUAAAAUUUUUCAUCUAGGAAAAAAUUUAAGUAUGAAGACGUAUUUUAAUCAGAUUAUGUUUGUUUUCAAUUUCGGUGAGUAUAUUGAUUACAUGACUGUUCUUUUGAAAUCAAUUACAAAAAGUGAGUACGGUCUACUUUAUAUGUGUGCCGUUUGCUUUGAAAAUGGACCUUUAAACAAUUAAAAGAAAUAUUAUUUGCUACUAAGUAAAAUUAAUAUUAUAUUAAAAGAACCGUUUUAUCUCUUCCCAUUUCACCUUUUCGAGAAUUGAUAUCCAUAUACGAUGAUGCUUUAUAUCAUUGUGAGAGAGAGAGACAAAGUUGACAAAUAGAAUAUAAAGUGUUUCGAAAGUAAAUGUUGAAAUGUGUUGUAAGUGUAUAUUCAAAGCUUUUACAUUAUAAGAAGAAUAUGCACGUUUUGAUGUUUUAUAUGUAUCAUUAUUGUUUGUAUAUUUUCCGUAAAAUACAUUUUUCAUCGUCAUCUGUAUUUUUUAGUUCAACUGUUAGCGUUUGUAUGCACCUAGUUUGAUGAAAAUGUCUAGCACAACUAAAUCAAGUUUUUGUAAAUCUUUUUUAUUAUUUUUUUUAUUUAACAGUUUGCUUCACGACAUUGUCUGCCAACAACAUCAAUACACCAUCCAAUGGUUAUGUGGCGACCACUAUUCAGCCAAUAGGUAAUGCACGUAUAGUUAUUUUUUAGGGGAGGGAGGAUUGACGAAAGGAAAUUGUAGGAACAUAACAGUAGUAACAUAUAUCCAUUAGUUUGAAUCAGAUGUGUUUGAGCUUUUGAUGUUGUCAUUGGAUUAGAGACUUUCUUUUUAAAUUUUCAUCGGAUUUCAGUAUUUUUAUGAUUUUACUUUUUAUAUAGAUAUCAACGAAGCUAUGUAAUUAUAUCCACUUCUACAACAAAAAGCCAAUAGAACAACUAUCAAUCAAGUUCUAAUGAAGUGGACGUAUGCAAUUAUGGGCCCUUCAUUGAUGACUGUUUGGUGUGAGCCAAAGCUCCGCGUUGAAGAACAACUUCUUAUAUCUAUAGAUAUAGAUCAACAAUGAGUAAAACCCAUGGAUACCAUAUUAUCAGAUUAUUACAUGGCAUUUUUCAUAUCGCAUGUAUUAUCAACCCUAGGUUCAAUAUCAGCCCAAGAGCCGAAUGGCUCGAGAGCGGAUAUUUAACGAGAGCUGAUAAUACAUGAGAUAUGAAAAAUGACAUGUUAUGAUCUUUUUAUCAUAUGCUUCAACAAUGGAGAAAAAUAACAAAUUAAUAUAUUGAUCCUUUUACGUGGUUCCAAAAAAAAAAGUUUAAAAGAUUAAAAAGUUCACGGACGCGGAGAUCCCAGAUUUAGUGCAUUCGAUAUAAAAUCUUUCUAUCAUAUCAACAGAGAAAAAAGUAUUUUGAUAUGGACGAAUCGACAAAAAAAAUUAUUCAACAAUAUACAUAAUGAAAACUGUUUCGAAAAGUUAACUUAUUUAAAGCGUAACUUUCUAAAUUAUGUUUGAAACUUUUAAAAAAUGCAAUUAUUUAAUAUUUUUCUUAUUUCUUUUUGUUAAUUUACACAAUAUACUUUCCAGUAUCUAAAUAAUUGUUUUGUACACUACUUUGAAAUGUUUUUCAUUGGAAACGUAGCAUUGAGUUGUAUUUUCCGGAAUUUGCCGAGUAUCACCGGAAUGCCAUGCGAUAACGUUACGGAAAGGCAUGUGAUAAAAAUCGAAGCAUGUGAUAAACAUUUCAUAUCAGCCCGCUAAUCACCAAUUCGAAAAAUAUUUAGUUAACGUUAAUUUGAUGUUAUUAUCAUACAGUUAAAAUCGUAUGUUAUUUAGUCUAACAUGUCUAAGUAUAUGAUAAAGUAGGAUAUAAAAGGCAACGUUAUAUUCUCAUUUCAGGUAGUAGAAAAUGUUUCAAAUGUACCAGUUGGACAACAACUUAUUGUACGCAGAGAACUAGUUUAUCUGUUGCGAUGCAGUAUUUUCCGCUUGUUUGGUGUCCUGGUUCUUGUAUCACGAGGGCCAUUGAGCACGACGGUGUUACAGGUACAUAAUGAAAAUGAUGUACCGAAUACAAAAAAAGUGUUAAUGAUAUAGUGUUAUUAUGUGGCUGUUUCUGUAUUGGCCUUGUUAUAGAUUCGAGGUUAGCUGUAUUGGACCCGAGACUCAGUAUAGCUGAUCGAAAAUCUAUAACAGGACCACUAGCAAGACGAUAUUUCGUUGUCCUUAUAAAGAUAUUUUGAUAAGAAAUUAAUUCAAGAAUAGAUACGACAAAAGUUCUAUCUGGACAAGUUAUAUUCUGAGAUUUAAAUGCAAAUAAAUCUUAUUUAUGUAAAAUCAAUGAGAAUCGUGACGUUAUAGUCAUAAGGUAAGUCCUAAUAUAUAUUAUCUAAGGUCACGAGCUAAUGGUCUACUUAAAAAAAGUAUGUCAUGUAUGUAUGAAAUGUUUUUUUCAUAAGGCCAGGUUUAAUCCACCAUUUUUUAAAUGUUUGUGCCAAGUGAGGAAUAUGACAGUUUUUGUCCAUUCGUUUGGUGUGUUGGAGCUUUUGGUUUUGCUAUAAAAUUGGGGACUUUCCUUUUUGAAUUUUCCUCGGAGUGUUUUUUUGUGAUUUUGCAUUUUAUAUACCCGAGACACUUAUCGAAUCCCAGAAGCUUAAUAUUGUAAAUUAAGCGUUGGUGAUUGAAUACUGUUUGUAUUCUACAAUUAUCUUUUGAACUUCUGCUUUAAUUAAACGUUACAACUGACACAAAGUUUUGAUAAAAUGUAACACCUUUUUAUUGCAAGCCGUUUUAUUCGAACUUAUAUUGAUUGAUUGUUUGUUGCUUAACGUCCAGUGGCAAAUGUUCGAACUUAAAGAUAUAUCAUGUAAUAUAUAAGAUAUCUUAUUUAAUCUAGCUUUCAUAAGAUAAACCAUAUACGUGUGUACUUUAUAAGAUAUCUUCAAUUCAUUUUUGUUAAUUCAUAUACGCUUUGUCAUUUUUCAGACGUCAUUAGAGGUUGCUCAACAGGAGGAUCUGAUGUAAAGCAGACGACAUGCGAUGAUGACUAUUGUAAUCUAAAUCAUGGAAAUAUCGUUAGGUCUAGUACUGUAUAUACUACCCUCAUAAUGGCAAUUUUGUGUAGCCUUUCGUGUAUUGAUUAGAAGCUAACCAGAUAGCUCGACUUUCAUUUUUAAUUUCUAGUCUGGUGAAUAUAAUCAUCAUUUUCAUGAACUUUUCAAAAAGCAUAUCAGGUCUUUGUACCACGUCAUAAAAUCAUUUGAAUAACGGCGUUUCUAUUUUUUUUAAUGAAAUAAAGAAAAACAAAGUGCAUUCAUUGAUCCUUUCUCAUUUUGACUGAGUUUAAAUAUCUCUGAUAUAACUUCAACUGUAGGAAACAUAAUAAAUGUAAAUGGUGUAAAUGUAAAUAUAAAUUCUGCAUCCUCCUAUAUAAUCCCUGUACCAUGUAAGGAUGUCUGCAUCAAGUCUUCUUUAAUUUCGCAUUUCCUUUUUGUAUCUCUAGAAGUUUGUUGGUGUUGUUUUUUUAUACAACAUUUUAGUAGUUCGUAUUUUCUUUAUAA